RNAcentral lists this transfer RNA (82 nucleotides) under Spirochaetota bacterium. RNAcentral's name for it is "Spirochaetes bacterium tRNA-Leu". It matches the Rfam family "tRNA". Rfam says of the family: Transfer RNA (tRNA) molecules are approximately 80 nucleotides in length. Their secondary structure includes four short double-helical elements and three loops (D, anti-codon, and T loops). Further hydrogen bonds mediate the characteristic L-shaped molecular structure. tRNAs have two regions of fundamental functional importance: the anti-codon, which is responsible for specific mRNA codon recognition, and the 3' end, to which the tRNAs corresponding amino acid is attached (by aminoacyl-tRNA synthetases). tRNAs cope with the degeneracy of the genetic code in two manners: having more than one tRNA (with a specific anti-codon) for a particular amino acid; and 'wobble' base-pairing, i.e. permitting non-standard base-pairing at the 3rd anti-codon position. Lineage: Bacteria; Pseudomonadati; Spirochaetota. The record is from RNAcentral.
GCGAGAGUGGUGGAACUGGCAGACACGCUAGACUUAGGAUCUAGUGCCUCUGGGCAUGUGGGUUCGAGUCCCACCUCUCGCA